GAGACGCCGGCGUUUCCUUCCGGUCUUCUUCGCCGCGGUUGCCCCUCGCAUACCUUUGACUACCUUUGGCGAGUGAGGAGGCUCCUUGCCCAGUGUGGGGCUUGAAUUCAUGACCCUGAGAUCAAGAGUCAAAUGCUCUAUGAGCCAGCCAGUCCAAGCACAAAUGUGGAUCACUGAAGACAGUACUGGAAGCGCCAGUUGCAGGUACAUUGCAGUUAUCAUUAAAUGAGCCAGAAGGUAGAAAAACUUUGUAUUUUAUGGGGGGACUUGACUGGGCAGUACUAGUAGGAGAUGAAAUGAAUAGGGAACAAUGAGGUUAUUUAAAAAAAAAAAAAAAGAUCACUGCCCUUAUUUGUGUUGAACAAGUCAUGUUGAGAAGGUGGUUAUUUAAGAUAAGGAUGCUACAUUAAAGGUAUCAUAUAAUGCAGCAUGAAUACGUUAGAAUCAAGCUGCACCUAAGAAAAAAAUUUCCCUAGGUUACCUUUAAAAAAAAAUUAUGUGUUAUCUGCCAGUCACAGAGAGGAAAAGCACCUAAGGUGAACUUCCAAUUUAAUGAGGACCUUCAUCAGGACCACAAAGCCUGAAACAUUUGUUUUAAUGCAGAAACACAGCCUCUAGUCACGCUGGUUGAGUUUGGGAAAACUGGAGGGAUUUUUUUUGUUUUUUAUUUUAUUGAAUGAUAGGAUAUUGUUUCGAUUACUAAGGAUUCUAGAUCUUCAUACCAGCAUUAGAAUUGAACCACUUCCAAAUCCUAAGACACUUAAGUCCAAAGAGAAGCGAUAGCCAUACAAAUUAAUAUGUGGCCCUCUCCUUUCUGCUCUAAGGGAAUCUUCAAACCAGUAUCACAUUUAAGAGUCAAAGUGUUAAAUUCUUCAGCAUUCCUGACAACUAGAAAGCACAUUCACUGAAGGCUGAAGGUGAGGGAGCGGAUGGUUUAAUAUCUGUGAAGAAUGGCGCCAAUAGAGGAAAGAAAACCAUCCAGUCUCAGUAAGGAUUAAUGCAAAUUUGGCUAGAAAAGCCACCAGGCAUAAGCAACCUAACCACUACAGCAAUACUGGAAAUAAAAGAUAACCACACCUCUGAAACAGGUGCUAAAGCCACCAUGGGCCCAACAGGCCAGUUCUGUUUUGUAUAAAGAACUCUUGAAACUCCAAGAAAACAAGUAACUGAAUUUAAAAAUCAGCAAAAGACCUGAACAUACAUCUCACCAAAAAUAUACUGAUGGCAAGUAAGAUAUGAAAAGAUGUUCAACAUCAUUAUCAUGUCAUUAGAGGACUGCAAAUUAAAACACUGAUGCCACACCUAUUAAAAUGGCUAAAAUCCAAAAUGCUUGACAAUACCAAAUGCUAACAACAAUGUGGGGCAACAGGAACUCUUAUUUUUAUUGUUGUUGGCAGGAAUGCAACAUAGGAUAGUCACUUUGGAAGACAGCUUGGUGGUUUUUUACAAAGCUUUUCAUACAAUCCAGCAAUUGUACUCUGGACAUUCACCCAAUUGAGAUGAAAACUGAGGUCCACACAAAAACCUGUAAACAAAUGUUUACAGCAGUUUUAUUCACAACUGCCAAAACCUAGAAGCAACCAAGAUAUACUUCCAAUAGGCAAAUGGAUAAACUGUAGUAUAUCCAGACAUGAAAUAUUAGUCCUAAAAAAUUAUCAAGUCAUGAGAAGACAUGAAGGAAACUUAGACAUGCUAAGGGAAAGAAGCCAGUCUGAAAAGAUUCCACACUAUAUGAUUCCAAAUAUAUGACAUUCUGGAAAAGACAAAACUUUUACAAAGACAAUAAAAAGUAUAGUGGUUGCCAGGGAUUUGAGGGGUGGGGGUAAAGGAGUAGUGACGAUAGGUGAAGCAGAGGGGAUUUUUAGGGCAGUGUGACACUGUAUGACACUACAAUGGCAGAAAGAGGACAUGUAUUCACCAAAACCUAUAGAAUUGUAGAACACAAAAAGUGAUUCUUAAUAUAAACUAUGAACUUGAGUUAAUAAUGUAUCCGUACUGGUCAUUAACAAAUGUAGCUCCACUAAAUGUGAGAGGUUAAUAGAAGACACUGCAGGGGAGGGAAGUAUAUAGGAACUCUGUACUAUCAUCUCAAUUCUGUAAAACUAAAAAUCUUCCUUUAAAAAGUCUUAAUUUUUUUAAGUAAGUUCAUACCAUAUUUAGCUUUAUUAUUUACUCAGGAAUGAAUUUAAUAAUGUCUAACUUUACUUAAAUCCUUACUGACGAUUAAAGGCUAUAUAUCUUA
Molecule: long non-coding RNA, 2242 nt
Organism: Neofelis nebulosa (Clouded leopard)
Lineage: Eukaryota; Metazoa; Chordata; Mammalia; Carnivora; Felidae
Exons: 5
Source: RefSeq, a predicted model, not a curated record